UGGGGAAUAUUGGACAAUGGGCGCAAGCCUGAUCCAGCCAUGCCGCGUGUGUGAAGAAGGCCUUUUGGUUGUAAAGCACUUUAAGCGAGGAGGAGGCUACUUGGAUUAAUACUCUAAGAUAGUGGACGUUACUCGCAGAAUAAGCACCGGCUAACUCUGUGCCAGCAGCCGCGGUAAUACAGAGGGUGCGAGCGUUAAUCGGAUUUACUGGGCGUAAAGCGUGCGUAGGCGGCUUCUUAAGUCGGAUGUGAAAUCCCUGAGCUUAACUUAGGAAGUGCAUUAGAUACUAGGAAGCUAGAGUAUGGGAGAGGAUGGUAGAAUUCCAGGUGUAGCGGUGAAAUGCGUAGAGAUCUGGAGGAAUACCGAUGGCGAAGGCAGACAUCUGGCCUAAUACUGACGCUGAGGUACGAAAGCAUGGGGAGCAAACAGG
RNAcentral lists this ribosomal RNA (430 nucleotides) under bacterium. Its description in RNAcentral is "partial 16S ribosomal RNA". It matches the Rfam family "Bacterial small subunit ribosomal RNA", at positions 355 to 776 of the family's 1533-position model. The record is from RNAcentral.